UUGAUGCGAUGCCUCAGAUCAGCAUAGGCUCUGGAUAGGGCGGCCCUGUCAGACUUAGCCGUGUGCCUUGGGAGCUUCCCCUUCUGUCCUGGCUUCGAUCUCCAUCUUCUCUGAGUCGAGCCUCGACGAGCCCCGAGGUCGGGAACUCGGUCGUGGCUUCCUGUCCUCGGGGUCUCGAGGCGUUCUUCCGAAAUGACUUGACAGCGAGAAAUCAAGUCCUCUGAUUUUGGCACGUACACUAGUCCCUAAAGAAACAAGUUACAAGUCCCUAAAUCACAUUCAAUUUGCAACCAGAAAUCGGGAAUAUUAAUAUAUAGAUGAUGUUGCUAUCAUAAAAUAAUACCAAAAAUACUCAACAGCAGUUAGUUGCACCGUACAUCAAUGAUGUAAGCUAGUCACAAUAUUGUGUUCAUAAACAUUUAGCAAAAAAUUACAUAUCACUAAUAUCUCUCGAUUGUAAUGUAAAAUUUUCUUGAAAUUCUCGGCAAAAUGAUGGCUAAUCUGUAUGUCGUCAAAAAUAUGCUUCUAGUACUUCAAUAUCCAAAACCUGUAGAAGAAAUAAGAAAUUUCAGUUAGAAAAACUAUAUAUAACAAUGUAGAUGGAAUGUUAUCACAGUAGGUAUGGGAAUUGACAAGAAGAACAGUAAGUUUAGUAGGUGUAUCAUUGCCUGGAUUAUAGCAAUUGAUAAGAUUCUCUAUUUUCACAAAGCUGAGUGGAAACAACAGCUCCAUGACAAAUAAAAAGAUAGUGACAGUAUUAUUUCCUUAUUUUUCAGCAGACAGAGAGACUAAUUAUAAUCAUUAAACAUUAGAGUGUAAAAGAGGACGGUGAGGAACACGCAGUGUUCAUCAGUUUUUCAGUGGCCUACGUGCGAACAAAAUUCAGAAGACAAUACAGUCCAACAAGAUCUCACAUCAUUCUCCACCAUUAGAAAAAAGGGAUUUGGGGAAGAAGUUAAGAACAGUCAUUGCAUAAUCAAUUUGCAACGAACUCUACAACACUCUAGAAGCUUACGGCAAGCUUUAAUUGCAAUUAAAUUAGUAGGGCCUCUAAAACCCAAGAGGAAUCAGUGAAUCAAUGGAACAAUUAACAGUAACUUAGCUCAAUCACUAGCAUGCAAAAAGCAAGCUUGAGAACCUAAAGGCUAAAAAUUUCAGCUUGGCACUACUAAGUUAAAGAGAAAAGAUUAGGCAUACAAGAAUAAGAAUGACUGAAUGCAAAUCUCUCAAGUAGCAGUAAGGCAAGUAGGCAUACUAAAAGAUGUCACAUUAGACAAGUAAUUUAGGAAGUGAACUCAGCCAACAGUAUCUGAACUCAGCUACUAAAAGAUGUCACAUUAGACAACUCAGCCAACAAAGGAGAUUUUCAGUCUCUGAUGCUAAUCCUGAGAGGGCUGAGAACCUUUUCAAAUGCAUAUUGUAUGAAUACUAAUGAAAAUAAGAGGGAUGCUGGGUAUAUAAGUUAACAAGUCUUAAAUCCUAAUGACGCAUUUUAAAUCCGUGAGGGCCUAGGCCCAGAGCGGACAAUAUCACUAGCGGGCUGGGCUGUUACAUAUAAUCUAAAAAAUUUUGCACCCCAAUUAAGUAGGAUUCGUCAAGUCGGUUAUCAACAAGUUGCAUCCAUCGCUUACUUGGUGCCAUAACCUUGGAUAGUAAAUAGAAAUAAUAUUUAAAAAAUUAAGAUCACAAAAGCAUUAAGAUGCACAUUACUUAUAAAAGAAAGUACUACGAUGCACAUUACUUGUUAUUACACUUGUCAGAAUCAUCUUUAUGACUAAACUUCUUAUGAUUUGACAAGAAUGAAAUAAACUACAAGUUGAUAUGCAUAACAUAUAACUCACAAUUGCUCAACAAAAUGAGAAAUUAAAACACAUAAGACACUCUAAAAUUAAAUCACUGAUUUUUUAUCUUGUCUUCCUUAAAUAAAAAAAAUGAUACAAUAACUAUCAUUCUAUGCUUUUGAUAUUGUAUAGUAAACAAUAGAACCUAAAAGAAAACCUAAAAGGUCAAUUAGCAAGAGAGAUUUCGACAUAUAGAACCCGGGAUUUUGACUCUCCAUAUAUAGAAUUCUAAGUUGCAGAAAACAAAUAAAGAAACAAAAAAUUGAAGAAGCCUAUAGUAGCUAUAGGAAGUUAAUAGCGACUAAUCAACUGUGCUUUCUGAAAAUUUAUUAGAAGAACAAUGUAUGUAUAGCAGCUCCUGGAUUUGAAUUACAGAGGAGAUCUGACUCAUCUCCCAUGUGAAUUCUUCAUCACUUGCUUCAAUUUAUUCAGAAAGUAGGGGCUCUUUUUUUGUAUUUAAAAAUGCUUGCAUUUUAUUCUUAACAUAAUUCAGAACUAAAAAGGAAAGAAAAAUAGAUUAAUGUAAUCCAAUGAAAGAUGUAUCACCAAUUUAAUAAAAGAUAUUUAAUUAGUCAGAGAAUCCACUGCAAACUUGGAGUCUCGUCCACGACAAUGUUUCUUUGUUCUUCAACUGGACAAAGAUUUCUCGAAUAGGCCAAACUUAAUUUUCUCAUUAAUUUAAGCAAACAAAAUUCCAUAAAACUCAACAUUCUAAUUAGAAAAUUCCUAUAUUAUCCACUUAUAUGAAGAUAUGAUUGCGACAUGUUUGUACUUUCUUGCUAUGAAAAGACUAACUGAGCAAAAGCACGACAAAAAGGUUAUGAUCGUGACAUGUUUGUACUUUCUUGCUAUGAAAAGACUAACUGAGCAAAAGCACGACAAAAAGGUUCAACAAAGGCUGCGUUCUGCCAAAAAUUUUACUCUUCAGCUGACAUCUUAUAUGUUUUUCUUCAUGUUAGAAAAAGAUAUCUUACUGAAAUCAGAUAAUCUUUGAGUUAAAAGAGGUCCUUUUAUUCACAAAAUGCAGUUUCAUUAACUUAUGGUGCAAUUAUUGAUGAUCCUUCUAAUGCUUUUGAUAUUGUAGUACUAGUUAAACUAUAAAAUUAUUUCCACAAACACUUAAAUUGAUAGUCUUUUUCCGUUUCUUUCCACCCAUCGAACUAAAACAAUUAGUAAAGUAAAUUAAACAAAAUCAAAUAAACAGAACAGAUUUCUGAUUCAAUGGGGGGGAAAAAGCACGAAUAAGAAAUUUAAAGAAACAGAACAGAUCAAAGAGAAAGAAAUUAAACUUACUCUUGUUUAGGCGGAUAGUCCAAUAGUAUAAUUUGUGUAAAGUACUUUGGAUUAAGGCCUCCAAACAAGAAAUUAAACAGAGUUCAUUCUGUACAGAGCUCUCAACAAUGACGACAAAGUGGCGCCUCGCUCUUUGCAACCUUUCUUAGUUUUUUUACCUUCUGAAUUUUGAAGGAGUUAUCGGCCGUUCCUAGGGAUUUUAGCUUCGUCGUCUCCUCUUUGCAACCUUUCUGAGUUUAAUUCUUUAUAACCUUCUGAAUUUUAGCUUCGCCAUCUCUAGGGAUUUUAGGUACGAUCGAAUUUUACCUUCUGAAUUUUGAAGGAUCGAUCGGUUAGCGGUCGAGUCUCUAGGGAUUUUAGGCUGAAAGUACUUGUAUUUGAGAGAUUUUAGGGUGAAAAGAAA
This 3537-nucleotide long non-coding RNA is filed under the name Nicotiana tabacum (common tobacco). Its description in RNAcentral is "long non-coding RNA (NTAB_LNC010008)". The record is from RNAcentral. Lineage: Eukaryota; Viridiplantae; Streptophyta; Magnoliopsida; Solanales; Solanaceae.